UACGUAGGCAGCAAGCGUUGUUCGGAGUUACUGGGCGUAAAGGGUGUGUAGGCGGUUGGGUAAGUGUGGUGUGAAAUCUCCCGGCUUAACUGGGAGGGUGCGCUACAAACUGUCUGACUAGAGUGAGGAAGAGGAAAGUGGAAUUCCGCGUGUAGUGGUGAAAUGCGUAGAGAUGCGGAGGAACACCAGUGGCGAAAGCGGCUUUCUGGUCCUUAACUGACGCUGAGGCGCGAAAGCAUGGGGAGCGAACGGG
RNAcentral lists this ribosomal RNA (253 nucleotides) under uncultured bacterium. RNAcentral's name for it is "partial 16S ribosomal RNA". It matches the Rfam family "Bacterial small subunit ribosomal RNA", at positions 524 to 776 of the family's 1533-position model. The record is from RNAcentral.